This 547-nucleotide ribosomal RNA is filed under the name uncultured bacterium. Its description in RNAcentral is "bacterial SSU rRNA". It matches the Rfam family "Bacterial small subunit ribosomal RNA", at positions 239 to 803 of the family's 1533-position model. The record is from RNAcentral.
GAUUAGCUAGUUGGUGAGGUAACGGUCCACCAAGGCGACGAUCCAUAGCCGACCUGAGAGGGUGGCCGGCCACAUUGGGACUGAGACACGGCCCAAACUCCUACGGGAGGCAGCAGUGGGGAAUAUUGCACAAUGGGCGAAAGCCUGAUGCAGCGACGCCGCGUGAGCGAAGAAGUAUUUCGGUAUGUAAAGCUCUAUCAGCAGGGAAGAUAAUGACGGUACCUGACUAAGAAGCACCGGCUAAAUACGUGCCAGCAGCCGCGGUAAUACGUAUGGUGCAAGCGUUAUCCGGAUUUACUGGGUGUAAAGGGAGCGCAGGCGGUGCGGCAAGUCUGAUGUGAAAGCCCGGGGCUCAACCCCGGUACUGCAUUGGAAACUGUCGUACUAGAGUGUCGGAGGGGUAAGCGGAAUCCCUAGUGUAGCGGUGAAAUGCGUAGAUAUUAGGAGGAACACCAGUGGCGAAGGCGGCUUACUGGACGAUAACUGACGCUGAGGCUCGAAAGCGUGGGGAGCAAACAGGAUUAGAUACCCUGGUAGUCCACGCCGU